This is a long non-coding RNA of Hemicordylus capensis (graceful crag lizard), 1059 nucleotides long. RefSeq lists it as uncharacterized. The transcript has 4 exons. NCBI's taxonomy places the organism in Eukaryota, Metazoa, Chordata, Lepidosauria, Squamata, Cordylidae. The record is from RefSeq and is a predicted model, not a curated record.
CGCAGCUGCAGCGCGCCGCCAAAGCCCCAGCUCCGCAGCCCUGUGGCGCCUCCCUACCCCAAAUAAAGGGCCAUGCAUUUUCCCGAGCCGGUGGGCGCUCCAGAGGGGUUUCUCUGCCGCUGGCAUGGCACGGCCCAAUUCCCUUGGAAUCUGCCGGCUACGGCUACAUUUACCUAGGCGCCCAACUGUUCCCAAACAAGAUGGACCUUAGGCGCAACUUCGCCGGCGUUAGCAGGAGGACCAGAAUCCUCCGCCUCUCUGCGCCAUUUGUGUCUUGUGGGCACAAUCAGGGAGGUCGGAGGUGGAAGAGGAAGGGAGAGGAGUUCAGUUGGCAGUGGUCUCCCCAAGAAUCGGCAUCAACCUCAGAGGGAUCUGUGAGAUACCUGCCCAGACGUCACUUGGAGAAGAAUGAAACUCUUAACCCCCUGGCAAUGAACGUAGUUAAGAGGACAGAGAUAUCCGUAGUCUUAGGCAGUGAGUGCUGGACCUGUGGCAGCCACCACGCGGGAUGCCGGGCAGGCUGCCGCCGCCGCUGCUCACAUCGACUUGCAGGUGCUGGUGGGAUCUCCAGGAAUAACUUCUAAAAGUCUCUUCUCCAUAAGAAGUUAAGACACCAAGUCCCAAGUAGUGCUGGGCUCCUGGAACUUAAUCACCACUUCAGGAUUUGGGGAGUGUGCAACACAGCUAAGACCGUGACCCAGCACCUGCCUUGGCAUAAGCUCAGAAGGCAUUAGAAUUGGUGGUGGAAAAUUCCAAGGGCAGAAUCAUCCAGCUUUUUCCAUCACAAGACCACUUUCGGUGAUGAAGCGAAAUGAAGCCAUAAAUGACUGGAAAGGAAAUUACUCUUCCUCUUUGUUGAGUCUGCCAGUCAAGUGGAGAGGAAAUUAGGUCAGCUGGAGAAGGAAAAGAGGCAAGGAUCUGAAAAUCUCAAAGAUCUCUUGACCUUUAAAAACACCAGCGGCAUGAAGAGCUCACUGUUGGAGGCAUUAGAGUUGGUUCAAUUUCCAGCACAGAAGGAGAAUUCAAAAUUGUAGGUUGGAUUAAAGCAUUCCUUCUUUA